UUAAUAGUAAAAUCUGCUCCAUGAACAUUAAAUAGCCGCAAUUCGUGCUAAGGUAGCAUAAUCAUUUGUCUUUUAAAUAAAGACUAGAACAAAAGAUUUAAUAUUUAUAUUAAUUUAUUUAAUCUUAAUAAUUAAAAUUAUCCUAAAUAUAAAAAGAUAUUUAUUCAAAAAAAAGACGACAAGACCCUAUUGAACUUAACUUUAGUUACACUGGGGCAGUUAAUUAAUUAAUAUUUUAUAUUAUAUUAAAUAUACAAAUAUCCAAUAUAAUUGAUUAAUUCAGUUACCAUAGGGAUAACAGCGCAAUUUUAUUUUAAAGUUCUUAUAUAAAAAAAAGAUUACGACCUCGAUGUUGAAUUAAUAACCUAAUUUACAAAGCAAAUUUUAAAAAAGGAAGUCUGUUCGACUUUUAAAAAAUUACAUGAUUUGAGUUCAGACCGGUGUAAGCCAGGUCGGUUUCUAUCUUUUUAAAAAAAUUUUACAGUACGAAAGGACCUAAGAAAUUAAUUUAAUUAAACUUAUUGGCAGAUAAAUGCAUUAGAAUUAGAAUCUAAAUAAACU
This 561-nucleotide ribosomal RNA is filed under the name Maeota dorsalis. RNAcentral describes it as "partial 16S ribosomal RNA". The stretch from base 170 to 468 matches the Rfam family "Bacterial large subunit ribosomal RNA", at positions 2074 to 2646 of the family's 2925-position model. Lineage: Eukaryota; Metazoa; Arthropoda; Arachnida; Araneae; Salticidae. The record is from RNAcentral.